RNAcentral lists this long non-coding RNA (19869 nucleotides) under Gallus gallus (chicken). Lineage: Eukaryota; Metazoa; Chordata; Aves; Galliformes; Phasianidae. The record is from RNAcentral.
GUUGUUUUUUAAUGGCACCGACUUCUCAUUUCUAACUGGAGUAGCAUGCAGUUUCUUGGCCGGUUUUUGAACCGGGGUCCCUAAACCUGGCGAUUUUUCUUAACCUCAUUUGGUCAUCUAACUGUGGAGAUGUCUAAUGAGAGGCAUUCAGAAAUGCUUCCCAAACGGGUCCAGCAAACUGCAUUAUGCUGUAUUAUGAGCCGGUAUUUACCAUCUGGCCCAAUCACAGUAACAAGCUGAGCACUUCUGAAUAAAAGACAUUUUUCCUCAAAAUUUAUACUGCCUCCAGUGCCAGUAUUCUCUAUGGACCCUGAGCACAUAAUUAUUUCAUGGGGUAUCCUGCACAUAGAUCCAAGCAGAUGCCGGGACAUCCUGCAGAAGUACCCACUGAGGGUUUAGGCUUUCCAAGGCACACAGGUAAGACAAGCAGUCUUGCUAUCUCCUUGCUGCCUUCUUAUUGCUGUCUCCUUGCUUCCUGCCUGAAGUAAUUAAAAUCUCUUCUCACAGGUGCACUUUGCAUCCUGAUCCUAGUCUGCUCUUUGAUAUUGCUUCCAGUUUGAUCAGUUUUAUAAACCAAUUAGCCACGGGCUUCCCCCCAGAGGGCCAUUAAUUGCUGACUACCUCAGAGCCGCUGGACCAUGACUGUAUUUAUUUAGAUUUUUACAAGAUGUGCAGUCCCACUCUCCAACAAUUUGUGACGUCUGAGACUGCUGGAGUCCUAAGAACCACAAAUGCCCCAAACCCAGGAGCCCCCCCACCUCUCCCACCCUCUCUGCCAAUUAUCUCUUUUAGUCUCAAUACUUCUGUUGAUCACUGUCUGAAAUUGAAAUGUGUACAAAAAGAAUGAACUUCCAUCUCAGUCCUUGGAAACAGUGGGGGGGAGAGAAGGAAAGAAUGUGAUGAUGCUCAGAAAUGACCCUGAGAGUUCAGGAAGCAUCUCAUUAUCCCAGGCUGAAAUGAGGUUGCUAUGAACUGGGGCUUUGGGAGUAAAUUAAGAAAGGGUAAAGGUGGCCCCAGGCUAGUGGGAUACUGAGAAGGUCAGGGCAGAGCAGGGACCUCAGGCUUUGUCUCAAAUUUGCAUGCACAAACCCUAUAGCAAGACACCUUAUUUUAAAAGGUGAUGGCUGAAACCAGCAGCCCAGGAAAUAUAUGUCUGGAUCUGGCUGGAGGUUAUUUCUUUAUGUUAACAAAUGUGCGUUUUCUCCCAUACAUGGGAAUGCACAACCUUGGAGCCUCACUUCACAGCUCCUUUACCAAAAGGGAUACCGCUAAGUCAUAACAGCACCUAUGCACAGAAACAUCUGUGUGAGCCCCAGACUUGGCUGCGUUCUUCUCGUCCUAAUUUCUGCUCUGUUCUACACCUCUGGACUGUGCCUGCAGUGUGGAUUUUCAAAUGACUUGAAGUGUUAUUAAAACAGGGUUUGUAAGGAAAGAAACAGCUUCCGCAGGCUUAGAAAUACAGCAUCAGCAAAAGAAAGCUAUGUCUAUCAGCAGCAGAACUGUACGUGUGAAGUGAUUUCUUGUAAAUAUGUCUCUGCCACAAGACAAAGCACUUCCAUUUGGUACAUUUGAUACAUUUCAGCUUUCUUAGGGCUUCUGGGUUCUUGUCCAGCGUUUCUACUGGCUGGCUUAAAAAGAUAAACAUACUUAUUUAAAUAUAAAAUCAUACCAUUAUGAAUAUUAACAAAAUUAAUCUAAAAUAUUAUUAUAGUAUUAUAAUGGUGUAUUAUAAGAUUGUUACAGUAUAUAACAUAAUUAUAAAAUUGGUUGAAACGUGGGCAUGUUUUGAAUAACUCUGCCUACUUCUGUCCAUGAACAUGGGCUCAGCCUUUCCUCUUCUGCUGUAAAGAAUGUACACAAACAAGAAGUAAACACAACUUUUCUGCUCAUCUGAGUCCCUGUACCUGAGCAUGAAUGAUCUGAGGGAUUAAGAACGUGGGGAGAAGAGCCUGAGUUGAGCUGAAGAGCAUGCAGGUGAGAGGACUUCUACAGGUAAGAUGCUUUCUAGAGACUUGGGCAACACUUUGGGAAGUUUGCAAGGAAGCUGUGGCUUUGUAUUAGUUCUGUUGGGUAUUCACAGUCUGAGAAAUUACAGGAGGGUAGUGAAAACUACCAUGUCACCAAGUGUGAUAACCUCUACAGACAAUGUGCAACCAACCUCAGUGACAGGAGUAGUGCGUUCCAUAGGGCGUAGGAGGCCUGUUCUACUUGUGAAGGUAAAACAUGAGUUUGUCAGAGAGCAAUAACUUCUGACCAGCUUCUUUUAGGUAUUCCAGAUUAGGAAUGCUUUGUAUUUAAUAUGAAAUUUACUUAGUUAUGGGUAUUUGACAUUGCAUGGGAGUUUGAUUUACCAGAAUAUACAAAAAUGACAACGCAAACACAAUGUAACGGCUGCAACAUACAGCUGGAUUGCAGUGGUUGAAUCCAGACCACUGAUUUCCUCACAGUUCAUUUUGUUGGCUGCUUAAUUUUCAGAUUGUGUUGGGCUGAGCCACAAAUACCCUUCCCCCAAGAUGCUCUGUUGGGCUCAGAAAGAUAGUACUCAAUGGAUUAUUUUAGAGGGAACCACUUAUAAAACUAGGUGAUCCACUCAGCUGUUGUAGCUAUCUGUCUAAAACAAAGGCCACUCUUCAGUCCCCUUCAUGUUGAGUUAGGUUCAGCUUCAGUUAUGACAGCUGUGGUUAUUUCCAAUAUGUAUUUGUGAGCUCCAUGGUCACAUCCUCCUUGCCCAUCUUCUCUGAGCCUUCCUCCACUAGAGAGAUCCACUUUCUACCCACAGAAGUCCCCAUGCUGUAAAGCAGGCAGAAGUUCCACGUGUUAGGUGGGCAAUUAAAUCCAUAUGGAAAUAAUUCCUGUUGGAACAGAGGCAGCACCCAGAGCUGUGUGUUUGAGAGGCUGGGGGAAGCACUGCUCAGCUCGCCGGCUUCGCUUCUGUAAACGGUGUUGCACAUGGCAUGGCUGAAGUCCCUGCCAUCCCAAUAACGGUGCCUAGCAUUUUUGUUAUGGCUGGUCAUCCCUCUGGGGUUUGUAAGCCAUCUACCCAGCUAGAGACCAUACAUGGUUAAGAUUUAUGUAUAUUUAUUGCCGAUGGCCUAUUCGCUAGCUCUGCAGGACUGUGCACGCAACACGGGGCACCCAGAGCUCGUUUAUCCCAGGGCAGGGAGGAGCGGAGAGAAAAAAUGAAGAUUAAACGAGUGAGACCAUUAUUAACAAUCGCUUUUUACAGCAUUCUUUUGAAUGAAUACCUUUUUACAACAUAUUUUUCUCCUAAAUGAUGUGUUCAGGCAGAGGCCCAGCGUUGUAAAAAGACACAUAAUUGGCACUCGGACAGGUCUGAGUUAUUGCCUGGUUGGUGUAAUUUUACACCUGUCACUGCCCAUAUAUUUAGAAACAGUGAAAAAAGCAGGCCCAGGGUCGUUUCCCUGCUGGUUGUGCUCAGGCUAAUGUGCUCACUGAGUCCAUAGCAGGCCUUUGUGCAGAAAAGUGCACAGGGAAAUGAGGUCUGAAAAAUACCGGAGAAUGCCCAGAGAAGUUGUGCACGCACCCUCCUUGAAUGUGCUCAAGGCCGGGUUGGAUGGGGCCCUGGGCAGCCUGAGCUGGGGAGCGGCAGCCCUGCCAUGGCAGGGGGUGGGAAAUGGAUGACCUUUAAGUUCCCCUUCAACCCAAGUCAUUCAUUGAUUCCCCAAGAGCACCUGGCACUGCUUUCCCUUUGCGUCUCGCCAUAGUAGUCAUGCCAGUGGCUGGAGGUGAUGCCACUGUGUACCUUCUCACAAUGGGUUGGGUACCUUCUAUGGGAACAUUUUUAGGCAGCGUUGUUUUUAUUUUCCUGGGAUUUUCUGAAGUUACCCAGCCUGUGGCCUCAGCUGCAUUCCCUGGGCUUAAAAUAUGCAAAUGUAAGAAUAGAAAUCCAGCGGUUCUGCCAGCCAAGGCUGCCCAAACAUCAGUAGUGCUGGGUACACAGGCUCCAGGGCAGGGAGAGCCACAGUUCUGCAGCCUGUGUGACAGCAGAAAGGCCUCAGGAUGGGGCUGCUGGGGCGGGGGCUGCUGGGUGUCAGUGGGAAGGGAUCAGCACCGCAUGGGGCCGGGAGCGUCCCUGGGAUGGAUGAACUCACAUCAGGGCUUUCCUGUGCAGUGCCCCGGCAGCCAUCGGCAGGUGUCUUGACCUGGGGCCUGGGGCUAAGGAAGGCAGAGCAGCUGGAGGUUCUGCUCAUGAGCCCACUGUGCAAAUUUCAUCCCUACUGUGGAAACGUUUAUCCAGUUCCCAGGGCCUGAGCAGAGGGGCUGCAGCACUGCCACCAGCACAGCUCUGCAGAUCUUUCCUGAGGAGAUUCAUACAACAGCAACUGGACUGGUUGCAUUACUGGGGGGAAACUGUAGUCAACAGUUGUUGCAAUGCUGGAGGAACACUGGCCCUUCUGGCUGUAGAAGAGACACACCGUUGGUCAAUCACACCUAAUGACUCUGAUUUAAUGUUGUGAUAUUUGGUACAAUAAUUUACUUUGCAUACUUUUUCCUCUCCUUUUCUGUGAGUCAGUAAUACUAUUUACUAUGAUCUCUAGAGGUCCUUUCCAACUCCUACAAUUCUGUGAUUCUGGGAUUCACUUCGCAUUUUCCAGGGUAUUUUUGUUUCUGCAGUGCUGAGAGCAAGAAAAUUGUCUUGUGAACUGACAUUUGUAUUUCUUGUGUGUCCAGAAGGCAGAUCUCUCAGGACAGCCAUAAUGGCAGACCCUUGAGGCAGCAGAGGCUGGCAGCAGUUCCCUGCAGCCGGGGAGUCUCAGUGCUCAAUGGGAACAGCUCUGCACAUUGCAUUUGGGUCCCUCCUCUGCUUAAACUCUUUAAUUUCCUGUGGCCGUAAGCACCGUAAGGAAGGUCUCGCUGCCCCAGGCUGGCCACCAUUACCUUUGAGUUAGAUUAUAUUCACACCUGUGAUAAAUAUUAACGACACAGUUCUGGUUUUUAGUUUCUAUCUGCAAUCUCUAGCCUAGAAAAUCAUGAGAGAUGCACACCCAAACCACCAGAAAUCAAGAGGGAGCCUUUGAAAGAGAGAGGUUUUCCAGAACAAGCUUUCUCGUUGUGAAAGGCUGAAACUAUUGCUCUCAUGUGAUUUAUAGUGCAAAAGUGUUCAGUCUUGUACAGCACCUGCAAUCCUCAGCAAUAAUUCAAGAACAGAGCAGCCUGUUGUUGAUACAGGGUAUCACUGGAGAAUAUAUAGAAUGCCUGCACGUGCUUUUCACACAGUUGAAAUCACCCUGAAUGUGCUACUAAUGUGUGUAAAUAUAUUUGCUAUUGUUGGCAUAAUCCACAAGCCCCAAAUGAAUGUGGCUACAGCAGAACCCUCUGGCUGCUCCAUCAAUUACUGCUCCUUUUCCAGCCGUGACCUGUACCUGCUCACAUCUUCCUAGAAACGAUGAAUGAUGAGAAUGAUUUAAUUUAUAGUUUCACCAUAAAUUAAGGCUUGUGUUACAAGUACGUAAUCUUUAGCAUUGUAAAGAAGCUACUAAUACAGUGAGACUCCUUACAAGACAGAGAGAAACAGUGUUUGCUACUGAGAGCCUGCAGCACUGCUCCCUGCAACGCUGGGGCUGAAGACUUCUGUUCCACCUUUGGACCUGGGCAGCACAGGGAAUCUCUUGGUAUCCAUCACCUGUUUUUUGGCUCUUUCUUUUUAUGCCUGUUCUUCUCUGCUGCUAAAUGAGGAAAUUCAUUUCACCCCAGACACGGCCACACCGCAGUCCUGAGGCAAUGAACCUGAUGCGAUGCUGGUAGAGGCCACGGAAGGUUUGGGAUUAGAUAUAUGUUUUCCUUACAAUAUAGUGUAGUAUCUAAGCAUCACUGGUAAAUGCCCCACGCUGUUGCGAGGAUUCAGCACCCCAGGCCCUGGGAGAUGCCCUGGAGCCAGCCCAGGGCUCAGGCUGCUGGUUCUGCUGUGCUGCCCAGCCCAGGUCCUCAGGGACAUCCUCCAGAGCCAAACCACGGAGCUGGAGGAAUGUACGCAAGGGAGAAAUGGCAAAACAGUAGUGCAUUUCAGGGCAGCUCCCAACUGAGGCACGCUGCAAAUACAAUCGUGACCCAGGCAAUUCUACCAGCAUGGGUGGCUGGGACAAGCGUUCGGUCUCAUUUUUUUCUAUCACCAAAAGAAGGCAUAGAGCUCUGCGCAGAAUAAUACUAAGGGUUGAUUGAUUGCAGAUUAAAAGCCUGAGUAAAAGCUUAGUGACGUCAAUGGAAAGAUUCUCAUAGGCUUGAGCCAGCCCCAAGACACUGUUAGACCGAUGGAAUGAGAUUUUCUUUUUUUAAAUGCAAUUGUUAUAAUGUAAAAGCUUCUGUUGGACAGAAAUAUCUCAUAGAAACAGAAUUAAAAAGCGGCCUCGAACAAAAGAACAGAUUUAGCCACCCAAGACUGCCAUUUCAUCAUGGAUUACUGUUUAUGUACUAUGAUGUUCCACAAUCAUGUGCUUUAUAUGGAGGAAAAGCUCAGGUGCACCGGCAGAGAGUUAACACCAUGAACUGGGUGCUUCCCGUGUCAGCCAGAAAAGACCUCUCCCAUACAGUAAAUGAAAUGGGUUUUUUUUACAAGGUUUUUCUAUGCCUCGAAGGAUCUGUGUGCUAUUGGGGAGAUCUUUACCAGCCUAGAGUGAUUCAGCCUCACUGCUCAUAGGAACGUGUCAUACUUGGCACAGGUGUGCAGGUGUCAUUGACAGCAUAGCCAGGACCCUGGCCCCUCUUGCCUGUAAUGUGUAUUAUCCGUAAGAAAAACACAUACAAGUAUAUCCAAUUUUAUAUCACAGGUUAUUGUCCUCUUUCAAAGCUAAGGAAUUUUCAUGAAGUGUGUAUACAUCUGGUAUCAGAUCAAUUCAAGCUUACAAUAAAAAAUUAUUUAUAGCUCUGCAUUGACAUUUGUUUAUUGUAUAGAUGAUAUCACCACACCAGACAGUUGCUUUAACUCAACAUUUCUCACUUUUAUUGCAUUUGUGAUCCCGUAUAUGGCCACAGAACAAAUCAUUAAAGAGGAUUGUGUGAAGGAUAAUGAGUACCAUAAUACUUCUAAGCCUCACAUUUACUCUUUAGCUGGACUCAAAUUCUUUUGAUCUGUUGAGCAAAGUUGCAAGAAACAGAAUAUAAUGGAUGUUGAAUGACACAUUUCUUGUAAUCUCAGAUUUUCCAAACCCCUCUGGUGUACCUGUGUUCCCCUUUCCCUCGCUAAUGAACUCUGACACUGAAACAGAUGUUGCCCUGUAAAUUCUCAUACAUUAUUUCCCAGCAACACUGCUGCUCCAAAUUCAUUCGCUCUGAGGCAAAUGCUCAGAUACGCUGACCCCUUUGUCAAGUGUCUUCUCUUCUCCUCCCCUCGCUGUUUGCCAGAUCAUGGUGGACUCUGUCCCGUUCAUCUUCUGUCCCGUUGCAUCAAGCAACAGUGACACAGGGACGGCGGUUUUCCCUGCAGGGAGGUGCCCUCUGUGUUGCUCUGUCACUGCACGAGCAAAAAGCCAGUGCACCUCCCAUCCCGCUGCUGUGGCUGAAGCGUUGUUUUAUAUGACUUUACAGUUUUGCUUGUAAAACACCUUAUUUUGCAUCGCUGCAGAAAGCAGCCUUUCUACCAAGGGACUCAUUCUAGCCAGUUUUUCUUUCUGUGUUCUGAAUUUCAUGGGAAAGAGAGGUUUGCUUUGUGCUAAGUAGGAAAUGGAUUGCACUGACUCUGAAAUGUUUAUACAAGGGGUUUCACGGGCCUGAUCUCACACUCAGGCUUCCUCCAAGUUUGGCAUGAAGAACAUUUGUAAUUAAGGCAGCAGCACUGUGCCACAAAACCAUUUUCUGCCUCAGAACGGCAGAUCCGCCCAUGGAGUCGGAGGGACGAGCCUGUGGUUGUGUGUGGCUGCACAGACUCAGCCGGGGGGGGCUCUGUUUCUCAUUCAGUCCAUUCAAAUUUCUGAGAAAAGGCCCAUUGGCCAAAUCAGAACCGUUUCAUCUUUAUUUUUUAAAUGAAAAUGGGUAACGCCUGUUCUUCUCCCCAAUCUUCACAUUUCUUUUCAUUUUCCUUCUGCUGCUCUCUACAUUUGCAGAACUUCCUCGUUUUUAUGAUGUCUUGAAAACUCUGGGUAACAAAGGGAAAAGUGAAAAAGUAGGGAAAAGUGCUACCCUGUGGCUGCAGCUUAGUUUGUUACAUUUGGCAGCAAAGCAGCUCAAAGCUGAACCAUCACAACGUUGAAACACUUCCAAAAUCUUCCACAAAUUGUGAAAAAACGUAAAAAUGUUCACCUCUGAUUCUGCAAAAUGAAAUUUUCUAUUGAUUUUGGUUACUUUUUAUUUCACUCCUGUUUCUUAUUGCAUUCAUUAAGAGUCAUAACUGCCGGGCUUCAAACUGUCCCUCCUGGUGUGGGCUGCAAGAGACAGGUUCGAAGAAUCCCUGUGGGUUUGGAAGCUCGUUGUGAGCUGGGAGGAGAGACGUGGCUGUGUGUCUCUCUGCCAUGGGAUAGGCCUCGGUGACCAACUCUGGUGGUUUCUCAGGAAAAAGCAUGAGUUCAGAGGGAAUCCUUAGAGGUGGCCUGCCUCUUCCCCCUUGACUAGCUCAGAGUUGAAGUCCCUGCACCGCAUUAGGUGGCUUUUGGCAGUGCUGGAUUGUUGUUACCACCCACUGGACAGGGGCGUCCACCUUCUGGAGCCCAGGGCAGGACGUGUGCCUGUCAAAAGCAUCUCUGGAUGUGUACAGCUGAGGGGCUUUCCUCGGAGGGUCUUCUGGAUUCACAGUCAUCUACCUCUAAGCACUGAAAAUCCAAGCCCCAAAUUCUUCACCUUCCUAAAACCAAUGAGAGUUUUACCUGCCUAAAGGUUUGCCAUACAAACUGAACCAGCACUUCAGGGUCUGCUGCUCUGGUAUCUUUGCAUUGCGUCUUGGCUGCAGCUGACAUAUUCUCUAGGGAUACCUUCAGAGCCCAGCUUUUGCUGUGUUUGGCUGCUGGCUGCUAGCUUUCCAGGCUAAGAUCAUAUGUGAUUUGGCUUAGGGACACGUCACAUGCAGCUUUACGUCACAAAUGGCAGUUUGCCAAUGGAGGUAUAAUUAACAGACAGGAAAAAAAAUCCAAACAAUAUCUUCAAGUAGCCUCAAGCCAAGUUGCGGGUAGAAUAUUAAAUAGAAGAGUGUAUAGAGAGAGGUAAAUCUGUGGCUGGGGAAUGGCUCCAGACAACCUGAGGGGAGAUUUGGAGGGCUCAUUAGCUUGUGAAGUCAAGAUCCAAACUUUGGCUUUGUUAGGCUGUUCAAGCCCCCGGUGUAUUUUCUGGGCUUACACAAUUUAGACUCAACCCGAUUGCUCCUGUACCCACUCACCUUGAGAAAAAGAGCAAAUGGCAGUUGCUCAGUUGAGGCCCCUCAGUGGUAGCUGACACCCCAUUCUGCCCUCAGGAUUAAUAGGGUAGCUGCAUACAUAAGAUGCUCUUUGGGGAUCUGGGACAUCUGAGUUCAUUUAUCAGCUUUGCUAUGGUUUCUAUGGAGUCUGGCUUCUCUGUCUCUCAGUCUCUAGUCUGCAAAGCGGGGAUAAUAACAAUUCCAUCUCCAUGCCUUGUUUUACUGAAUGUAAUAACUUUAAAGAAUAGAGGAACUUCCCUUGCAAAAUAGGCUGUCAGAUCUCCGUGCCACUGAGGACUAAGAAACAUGAUAAAAUUCAACAGGCACCGUGGAAAAUUGCAUAUCAAUCAGACAAGGGAAAGUAGUGUGGGAUUCAGGGCAGGACAUGGACAGAAUGGAACACCGGGUAAUAAUAAUCAUUUAUAGACAUAAAAAGUCUCAGGAUCAUAGAAAAAUAGAUGGGAAGGGACCCCAACAAUCCCCCAUCCUUUUCCACUUCUCCACUUUUUUUCCAUUCCCUAUGGAUAUUUGUCCAACCUGCUCUGAGAGAAGUCCUCUUCUCCUACCGUAGGUCGUGCUUGACAUCUGGUUGCUGCAAAGACUAACACAAAAAUGUAUGAGAAAUUUAAUCGUGUUCCAAGAGCUGCAUCCCCGUUGAGCUGUGAACCCAGGCUUCCUUUGGCCUUUUUUGUGUGACAGUAUCUGUCGAACAACUUCUUCAAGAUGUCUCCUGGCAGCUUCUACCGGAUGCAUGCCAUUAUCUACUGUGCUGUCUCCUUGGGAAGGACCUCCACAUCCAACAGGUCAUGCAUUCUGUCAGCCAUAUCAGCUUGCCUAAGAAAGAUCCUGCCACUCCAUGUGAACUUGCUCUCCUGAAUGCUGUAAACCACCAGCACUCACAAAGGCACAAAUGUCAUGCACCUUUCUGAGAUGUUCCUGUCCAGCUCCAGGUUUCCCUCUCUCUUUCAGUCUUCAUGCUUCCUUCACACAACAAGGUUUUCACUUUCUUUCUGUUUCCCUUUAGUGCCACUCUUUUAGCCAAGUUAUUCUUCACCCUCCCAUCUUCUCCUAACUGACACAUCUGUUCACAUGCUCAAACUAUCACUUCUUUGAGGAAAUGCCAGUUCUCCCUCACUUCUUUUCUUUCUUCUCUACCAUGGAAUCUGUCAAGAGUAGUUUUCUCCAUUCAUUUAUCCUCAGAUACGCAGUCCUUGAUGAGAAGCUCGGCGUAGGUCCCAGGGGCAUACUUUGUUAUUAUUAUUUUCAUAAAGAACAACAACAACAACAAAAAUAUCCAGACACAAGUUAAAAAUUGUAAAUCUUUCGCUUGUCUUUAUCGGAGAUUCCAUAUAGACUGGGGAAAUCUUCAGCCUGAGCCUUGGAGAUGAACAAAUAAAAAAAUCAAAUACAAAUUCAAUAAAUAAUAUAAUGAGCUCUUCAAACCUUCUGGAAAAGUUUAAUAAAUCCGAGAUACUUAGACACAUGUUUACCAUAUAACUAUUUGUAGGAACAUGGUACGUAUCAAAAAGUAAAAUGUACUUGCAUUCCUGUAGAGACAUAUUCUAAGGUGUGAGAAGAUUGUCCCAGUCAACAAAUGUCCUUCGCUUUCAAAGGCUGAACUAUUUUCUCAUAUAAAUAAAAGGACAAGCCAAUAAGUGAUGGUUAUUUCAGUGGAGAAAAGUAACAGCUAAUCCUGGAGUUGAUUUUUCAUCUCAGACUGCAUUUGACAGCUUUGAAUUCAUCCUAAUUGUGAAAAAACACAAGAUGGUUAAAACAUCCUGUGUAAACAAGAAUGAAGACAUUGAUUGAAAUAAGCUUUUGGAAAGAGGCUGUUGUUUGUAACACAAAGAAAUAGAAGAUUAUAUCCCAAAAGAAAAGUGUUCAAUGUUAUUAAAAUUAUAUUUCCAAUUUCUUUCCUUCCGUUGAUUUUUUUUUUAAUUGGAGGGCCAAAAUAUCCUCAGGACAGCGAGCUGCAGUCAGCAUUUUGCAAGAAGAAUCUUUCCAUUGGAAGACUUCCAACCAGGUCUCCAUUUCAGUUCUGCAGAACAUAUAAUUGAUUUUUCCAUAUAGUUAUAGUCUAUUAGAUGCAUUUAAAUCUUUACAUUGCUGCCUGUUUGAUGUGGGCGACGUAUUUUAUCCACUGUAAAUGGUAAUUUCUUCUUUCCAGUUUUCUAGGUGGAAUUCUGCAGUUACUAUUCACAAGCUAAGGUCCAGACUUUGGUGUUGGAAUUCUUGCUCUUUCACUGUGGCAUAACCUACCUAUGCUUGCAGCCACACAACUGUUGGGGUGACAGCAUGCACACAAACAGCUAUUCUGUAUGAGAACACCAGGCAUAGCAACACUCUUGCUCAUCUAUACGAACAAGUGAACUGACACCACAUUCAGUUUUUCACUAAAGCAAUUGUAUCUAGAAAUUAUGUGUCUGCUCUACUGUGAACCUCCCUUCAUACACACAAUGAAAAAUCCCAAAUCUUUCUGAGGUUCUAAAAAGGAUUAAAAAAAAACCCUCUUUCUUCCAGUUCAUUGUUGGAUAUGUUAACCAGGAUCAGAGAUGUUCCCAUGAAGUUAAAAACGGGAACUGAAGACUGAAGAGCUACAGCUGUUUCAAGGCUGGUCACCUCUCAAAAAAACAAACCUUUGGAGGAUGUGCAUGUGGAGGUAGCUUCCGCUGCCCAAAGCAUCCCUGCUCCACCAGCAGCAUCCCAUGUGGUGUGGACUCAACUUUGGAGGGGCUUUCCCAAAAGUGUCAUCUACUUGGAGCCAAGUGGUAGCCCUGCAGCACAGACAAAACCCCUCCGCCAUGCCCUGCCCUGACUGCCCGCAGCCUCCUGAGCCCAUUCAGAGAAUCACAGAAUCACAGAAAGGGACUCUAUGAAGGGCCCUGAAACUGAUCAUUGAGCUCCAGCCCCCUGCGGUGGGCAGGGCUGUCACCCACCAGAUCAGGCUGCACAGGGCCACAUCCAGCCUGGCUUUGAGCACCUCCAGUGAUAGGGCAUUCCCUCCUUCCUUUCAGGACAUGACCGGGUCUGGUGACCAAAUCACUUCCCACACAGGGAAGCACUAGUGGAGCUAGAUCCAGCUCUCCUAAUUAUCACACAGAGCCUGUAGACUGUUAACAGCAGCCCACAUUAGCAUGGAGCCAAGUCCUUAGUGUGCUGUGAUAAUAACAGUGUUUAAUAGAAUUAGGGGAAGUAUAUAAUCAGAAUAAGACUGCUGUGUGUACACAAAGGCAAGAUUAAUACACAACCAGUGAGCCAGGGCUAAGUCGAUAAAGUGGAAUUCACUGGGAGCCAGGAUAGCAGACAGGUAAACAUUAAUCUCUGUGUGUGAUGUGGAGUUUAGAGAUCAGAUGUUACUUGAAACCCGUGCAGAUGCAUGGGGUAUAUGGAGGGCACCACAGCCUCUGUUACCUUACACUCCUCAUGUGGAGCAGGAAGAGCUGCAUUCUUUGUGAUUAACCCAGCUUGAACUUUGAAAUGUGACUCCCAAAUAUUUGCGAGAAUACUGCAACUAAGACAAAGGAGUGGGGCUUUAAAGACCCUGUGGUUCUACAGUGUGCAGCUAGCUUCCUGCGGGGCUUAGGGCAAGUCCCUGCACCUCCCGGGACCUCAAUUGCCCAUGAAUUUCCUCCAAAUAGAUUUCCUUUGCACAUCUUAUUUCCAUGGGGAAUUAGUAUGGAAGUUUCAGAAGGGAAACACAAGAAGGCUAAACGAGAAACUUCAACACCCAAACUAAAACUGUGGGGGAGUUUUUCUUAUUUCAAGGAAGAAGAGCACAGUUGGUCACAAAGCCAGCAAACAUUUCCAGCUUCGAAAGAGGUCUGUGCCUAAAUACCUGGGUACUUCUCUGUUACUGAUCACAUACCCACACAUACCAGUAUUUCACCACAUUUAAUUGGCUGAUCAGCCACCUGAAGGUGCCAGAAGGCAUCAUCUUUCCAGGGAUCGCUGAUGGAUAGUUGUAAAUUUCUUAGGUCAAGAAAGAAAGUUUUGUAUUCUGGGGGCUUUAAUACAGACAUAUUGCCCAGCUUUGGCUGGCCAUUAAAUUAAUCCCUUUCUUUCCAGAAGCAAUCACAAAGGAUCCCAAAUGAUAAGCUGAGGAGAGCCCCAGGGAUUCCAUCACCCCUGGAUGCAGUGUGCCCACAUUUAGAGCAGGAGUAGGGAAGGUCUCAGCUCCUGCAGCCCAGGACACCGUACUUCAAUGAGCCCCAGCCAGCACAACCUACUUAUUUUACCCUUGUGAAAGUGCUUUAACUUCAGAAUAAAAUAUUGUUUUACCCUCUGCCCUGCUGCUCUGUGUAACUCCAGUGUCAGCUUCCAAAACUAUAACAAACCUCCUAAACAAACACAUUUUAAGCUCUGCUUCCAAACCAGGCUGGGUAAGGAGCAAGCAAGCUGAAUUAGAUGCAGGAGCCGAUUCAUCACCCCUUCCUCUGCCUCCUGGUCCCCCUGCCAUUUUGGGCAUUCCCAGCUGUGUCACCUGCAUGACAAACAGGGCUGAAGGAGUUGUUUUCGCAAGGUGCCAGUGGCCAGUCAGCCUCUUUGCAAGGUGAGGGCGAGCUGCCAGCUGUCUCCUCAAGGAGCACAGCCCUGGAAGCCAGCAGAGCAGGAGGAGAGGGAGGGUAUGGAAACUUCCCAGGGGAGGAUUGUUGCAGAGACUGAACAGGCUCUGCUCUAUCCAAGCACAAGGAAAUGUAUUAAUGUCAGGCCCAAGUGCCCUGCUUUGUCUCAUGACAGCACCUUCGCAAACAUCUCAAACAUUUGUUUUCUUUUGUGCAGCCUCACAUGCCACCACCCAGCACCAACAAAUAGAAGCUCCAUACUUUUUAAGCACAGCCUUAUGAGGAAAUACUGUUACAAUGAGCCGCAGCUCUGUCCUGGCAUGGCGAUAAAAAUGCUGGCAGAGAUGGGAGGCAGAGCAUGUGCAGAGCAGCAGCUGCAAGAAGAGGGGCCUGCGGCAACUGCAAUGGCUCCCAGGAGCCAGUGGGGAGAAUGGGCCAUACAGAGAAAUCCAGGAGACCUCUUAGGAAGGACUUGCUAUGGGGUUAGUUAAAGCUGUUUUACGACUCUCUGGACUGGGAAAGAAACAAGCAAGUCCUGUUUUUCUGAGGUACAGUGAACUGUGUCACUGCUGUAGCACCAGAAGGAGCUGCCGCCCUGCAAGAAGGCCUGUCCAGUGGGCAGGGGUCUUGCAAAGCUCCAUGAAAUGUGGGGCUGGCAGUCUGGGCCCCUGGGUGCGCAGCUGUUCUGCUCAGUGCCCAGCUCAUAGCAGAGGGCCGCCCUGGGCCGAGCCACCAAGGCCCGCUCUCCUGGAGACCCCCCGCUGCCCCAGGCCUCUCACGGCUGCAGGCUUGGCAGCUGGCACCAGCUGGCUCCACCACACAGAUCGUUCUCUAAAUAUUAUGCUUUUUGGGGUGUUGGUUUUAGCUGUUGUAAUUGGCAGCUUUCCUUCACUGCCUGUAGGAGCAAUGAGUUACUGAUGGGAGGAAAAAUUUGAGGACAUUAGCAGCUUAUUCCAACCCCUAUUUGCCUCCUGCGUAACACAUGCCACCCCAUUACUACCAUGCCCAAAAAUGGAUGAGUAUUGGUGCUCAAGACAGAAUAUGCCUGUUUUUGCCAUGCAGAAUUUUUUCAGAAUUAGAUUUUCUCUCCUUUCUGUAUUAUUAUUAUUAUUAUUUUAUUAAUUUUCAACAGCUCCUUGAUAGAAUGAGUUGUGGGGCAGGUCAAGAAGUUCAGAUCUUCAGCUGUCCACAUUACAUUGUCUUCUUAACACCACAGGCUGGCAUUUUGAAAUUCCCUUUUAAAUGCCACAGAAGUAUCUUCAAUCUCAUCAGAGUUUGGAUCCUGCGUGCUGUGGGUCUGUAAGGAUCUCAGUGGAUAUACUGCCUGCCCCUUGGAGAACUUCUGAAAAAGUUGAUCCUAUGUCUGCAGCUACUUUUAGUUUUUCAGUCACACAAAUACCCGGUUAGAAGAAAGAGAGCUGGAGGAUGGUAGGAAGAGAGGGAGAGGCAAGAUUUAUCUCUUCUUCCUAAACACUGGCUGUUACCACAGCUUUGUGACUGAUGGCAGAGAUGUGCAAGUCCACUGCCCUAUUCUGAGCAAAACACACAUAAGUGGAAAUAAAUACAUAAAUAUUCAGCUGAGGCAUCAGACGCUUACCAAGGCCACCUAGGAGCUGGCUCACUAUUCUGGCCCCCAUCUUUCUGUUCUUCAUUUGUGCAUGUCUUACACCACAGGGUGCACAGCUCCGAGGGGGACCAGGACCUACCGCUGUUGUGCCAACAGCAGCAGGGGGCCGACUGCUGCAUGCAUAGCUCUGAGUCUCCUCCAGGAACUGCCAGGAAGCUCCUCAGGGUGGGAUGUGUAGGGGAGGAAAGCUCUUUGGCAGGGCUGAUUUCUCAACACAGUGAAGGGUUGUAUCUUGCUUAAUGCUAGUUGUUGGAACUGAUUAGUAACAGUCCUUCUCUAGUAUUCCUAUUCCUGUUAUAGCAAGUGCAGAAGACUGGGCACUUCUGAAGAUGAUUUGCACUCUUCUCACCUCUCAGGAGAGGUUGAUGAUUCCUUGAGUCCUCUCUCUAUCUCUUUCCUAUUGGAGGCAGCCUGGGCCAUCAACAGUGGAUCUUCAUGACCUGGAGCCUCCUGGGAGGUGGAAGGAAUCUGGUUCAGAGGGGCUUUGAGGGCUUCAGUCCAGUUUGCCAAAGACAGGAAGGGCAGCACCCAGCCCUCCUCCCUUAGUUUGUUCUACAGACCUUGGCUUGCCUUCUGGGAGCUCCUACUGUAGCCAAAAACAAUAGCACCUCUGGAGCUGAGCCACAAAGACAUUCAGCUCCCUUUUUUAUGCUGUAGCUGCCUCCUAAGCACCAUUUGAGUAUCCAGUUGAGAUGAGCACUUCUUGUACUGCAUGCAAUAUAUACAAGUUUCAGGAUAAUUUCUGUCUCCGGGAAUUCAGUCUAAAUUAAGACAGGAUUGCAGUGAGAGAUGUCACGAGAACUGGCAACAGGGAAGAAGGAGGAUGGGAAAUAGGAGCCUUGCUACAAUCUCAUCCUUCUUUUAGCACACCCCACAUCUCUCCUGUUUAUCUCUGUCAGUAUCUGGUGCUUACAUUGCAUCUCUAGAUACGUGAUGCAUCAGCUUCACAUGUGGUAUUAAUAAGCAGUGGGUAUCUGCACAGGAUGGUUGCAAAGAGCAUCUGACUGAUUGCAUUACAGAAGGAUGCCUGGAACUGGAGUUGCUUUCCCAGAUGAAUACAGGACAGAUCUGAGAACUUUUUUCUUCAUUCCUUCUCAUCACAUACGUAUUUUCAUGGCUAACAGUCUGGACAAGCAGAACAUCACGAUGUCAACCAAGGGAAGAUGUAAAUCUCUUUAAGUAAUUUUUAAUGAAAAAAAAUAUUGAGUUACUCUGAGUGCCAUAGUUUCUGGGUGGCUGGUUUUAACUUUAGCAAUCCAUACUUAAAGGGAAAUUUUACAGUCUUAAUACAUUCCAGAUGUUCUCCUACUCCCAGAUGAAAGCUCUGUCAUCGUUUACUGUUAAUAUUUUUGUCAGCAGUAGAAUUUUAUUGUAAUACCCCAUCUUAUUUGUAGGCACUAUUAGUCAUGAGAGAAACUUCUUCCAAAAGUAAUCCUUGGGUCACUACUUGAGUGCUUUGUCUCACUCCAUUUAAUUAAAAACCAUUAACUGUUUGUUGUGUCCAAGGCUUGUCUGUAUAAUGCGUACAUACAAUGACUUUUUACCUGAUGAAAGCCAUUUGCCUUGAACAGUUAGACUAAAAAAAAUAUAGUUAUAUUCUACAGUAACAAUAGUUGGCUUUGUAACAGCUCUCCGGUGGAACAAAAACAAGAGAUUUGCUUUGAAAAUAAACCUCCAUGAACUUGGAUCGACAACAAGGGACACAAAGGUUUACUGCAAAAACAAGAAAUGCAUUUCAUGCUGUUAAGCUUUGAUCAUAUGUUAGUUUCUCACAUGGAGAACAGUAUUUAAACAUGGCAAUUUUGAUCCUUUGUAGUGACCGAUGGUGUGAUUACAGAGGGAAGGGGAGAUGGGGGAGCACAGCAGAGCAGAUUAUCAAAGCACAAGUCCUCUGGUUGGACCUCUGAGGAUUCUCCUUGUUCAGUGAAGAGCAACUACUUGAGUCAAAAAGCUGGCACUUCACAACAGUGUCUAUAUAAUAUUCAGUUAGUAAACAAGUUGGAAGAUGCUGUUAUUUUUUUUUUUCACAGUUAUCUCUGAAGAUCCAAGCUGGAUUUUGAAAAAGGAGCCCUCAUUUUUCCUGUUCUUGCCUCAUCACUUUUCUCUUAGGGCUCUGGAGCUGCUGACAGGAGCUGAGAGGAGACACGGGGACACAUACGCUCCAAAUGGGUUGGCCAGCUGUUGGGACAGCUCUUCAACACCAGCCCCAGGGUUCUGCUUUCUGGGAAAUAUAGAUAGAUAGAUAGAUAGAUAGAUAGAUAGAUAGAUAGAUAGAUAGAUAGAUAUGAAGUCUUCUCUGGCUAUAGUGGUGGUAGAGACUAGGUUUGCUGUGUCCUAAGAUGAUGCAUAGAGUUUUGCCAAGGGUGAAGCAUGCCUUUAAUCCUGGGCUGUGUUAUCAAUAUGAAUGUAAUAGGCUAUGAACAGCACUAACAGUGACAUCUCCAACAUGAGACAUUCUCAUGCUGGAUUCUAGGAGGGAAAUGUUUUGCAGCAUGAUAAGACUCUGGACAACCAUGCUGAAACAAACAAAAAGAAAAGUGCCAUGUCAAACAAGGCUUGACCAAAUGGCUCUAAUUGGGCUGGAACUCUGCCCUUAGUGUCUUGUGCUUCUAGUUUUGGUGCUGGGACACACAUGCUACUGUGAAGACCCAGGAAUAUGAGUAGAAACAUGACACUAGGAAUCAAGAUCUUUUCCAAAGUCCUUGUUUGUACUAUCUGAAUAAAUUUGAGCAAGUACAGAUUCCUAAAGCAAUGUGAAGGUAUGUAAUAAAAGCCCUAGGCCUCUUGUCUUCAGGUGCCUCAUUUUCCUGUGCAGCCUGUUGGCACCUUAGAGUGUAAGCAAAGAUUUGUUCCCCUUUUCAAAAGUCUUCUUUUAAGUUUACAAAUAGGCUUAGAGCAAGACUUAAAAUGUGAGUUAAAAAGAUAUUAGAGAGAUAAUUAUUAUCCAGAGGCAGCAUUCAGAUUACAGCAAUAAUGAGAUAAAAGUUUCUUAGGUUUCUUCUGUCCUGCAUCUGCAGCUGUGGUCAUGUCUUCGGGAGGUGGUUAGAAGAAAAGCAUUUUAGCUGAGCUCUUCACUGCAUGAAGCUAUUCAGAAGAACAUAAUGGAGUCGCAACAAAAGAAUGGAAGAGGGGAAUACUCUGUUCUGCAGCUUUGGAGUGUGCGUAAUGAGCCUUCAUACCAGAGAGGCUUGAAGAGGUCACAGCUCAUCUGAAUGUCACUGAGACACUAAUGUACUGUUUAUGAAACUUCUUUUGUAGAGCAGUACUGUACACUGCUAGUAGUAUCGGUGAGUCACACUAAGUAUGGAGAGUAAAACUCUAUCUGUUCAUGGUAGGCUACUGGGUGAAUUUCAGAAAGAAAGCAACAGCCCCUACUAAGAGGGCUGGGCCUUAUACAUGCUUCCCUUUCACUUUGGCACCAUCAUUGUCUUUCAGAUGUUGUUUUCCCAUGUGAGCUCAGAAUCUACUGCAACAUCUGCACAGUGAUGACUGACAACACAGAAUAAACACAACUGCAAUUUCUGGAGGCAACCUGCACUCUUUCCUGAUGUUUGUGGUAAGACGGCCAUUGGAAAGCAUCAUCUCUGGCUACGUGGAAACUGCACAUCAGUGAUUGCUGCUCAUAUCUGGCACUGAAGCGGUUGGUGCCACAGCCUGCAUGUUUAGUUGGAUGCAAGGCACAAAUGGGAAACAAUGCUUUCAGGGGCCAACAGAGGCACGGCAUUUCCCUUAGAGACAAAGCAUUUUCCUCUCAGGCAUACAUUUCUUCUACCCUUCAAUAAAUAGUUCAGGUCUUCUUGUUUAAGAUAGUAGUUAUAGACUGGUUUUAGUACUUUUUUUUUUCCCUAAUCAAUUAAUAAAACUCACUGUGUGUAGAGCUCUAUCUAUUUAGACAAGGAAAAUGUUCCUUCUAUUCCUGCGUGUGAAGAAGAAAAGUACCUGAUAAACUUAAUGCAUUUCAACAAAUUCAAGAGUAUGACUGAAAGCAGAGCUUAGACUCCUUCCUAGUGCGAUUAUUCUUAAUCAUGCGUGACCAGCUUGGUAAUUCAUUUCAACCCUUCUGUCUACAGUUUUUUUUUUAAUGAAAGUGAUUAAAUUGAUUAAUGGAAUUUUGUUUGCUGAAAUAAAAAUGCAAAAUCAGGUAUUCAAAAGCUAUUAUAUACCUGGAAAGGUACUGCUUUUCAUCUUUUUCUUUUGCCAUAAUACUUCUAAAAUAAGAAACAAAGACAUGACCAAAUAAUGUGCUGACCAUUUUUAGUCUAUGUUCCUUCUAUGUUGUGUGAAACACCACAGACCACAACCAUCUCCUCAAGAACCUCUCCUUAGUACCUGCAGUAAGCCUA